Molecule: ribosomal RNA, 497 nt
Filed under: uncultured bacterium
Lineage: Bacteria
Description: partial 16S ribosomal RNA
Rfam family: Bacterial small subunit ribosomal RNA
Source: RNAcentral
GAUGAACGCUGGCGGCGUGCCUAAUACAUGCAAGUCGAGCGAACAGACGAGAAGCUUGCUUCUCUGAUGUUAGCGGCGGACGGGUGAGUAACACGUGGAUAACCUACCUAUAAGACUGGGAUAACUUCGGGAAACCGGAGCUAAUACCGGAUGAUAUUUUGAACCGCAUGGUUCAAAAGUGAAAGACGGUCUUGCUGUCACUUAUAGAUGGAUCCGCGCUGCAUUAGCUAGUUGGUAAGGUAACGGCUUACCAAGGCAACGAUGCAUAGCCGACCUGAGAGGGUGAUCGGCCACACUGGAACUGAGACACGGUCCAGACUCCUACGGGAGGCAGCAGUAGGGAAUCUUCCGCAAUGGGCGAAAGCCUGACGGAGCAACGCCGCGUGAGCGAUGAAGGUCUUCGGAUCGUAAAACUCUGUUAUUAGGGAAGAACAUAUGUGUAAGUAACUAUGCACGUCUUGACGGUACCUAAUCAGAAAGCCACGGCUAACUACGUG